CCCAUCUCUCCAGCCUGUCCAGGUCCCUCUGAAUGGCAGCACAGCCCUCUGGUGUAUCAGCCACUCCUCCCAGUUUUGUAUCAUCAGCAAACUUGCUGAGGGUGCACUCUGUCCCUUCAUCCAGGUCACUGAUGAGGAAGUUGAACAAUAUUGGACCCAGCAUUGACCCCUGGGGCACACCGCUAGUUACUGGCCUCCAAGUAGACUUUGCACUGCUGAGCACAACCCUCUGAGCUUUGCCAUUCAGCCAGUUUUCAGUCCACCUCCCUGUCUGCUCAUCUAGCUUGCACUUCCUCAGCUUGCCUAUGAGGAUCUUAUGAGAGACAGUGUCAAAAGCCUUGCCGAAGCCAAGGGAGACAACAUCCACUGCUCUCCCCUCCUCUACCCAGCGAGUCAUCCCAUCACAGAAGGCUCUCAGGCUGGUUAAGCAUGAUUUCCCCUUUGUGAAUCCAUGCUGACUACUACUGAUCACCUUCUUAUCCUUCUGGAGCCUGGAAAUGGUAUCCGGGAUGAGCUGUUCCAUCAUCUUCCCAAGGAUUGAGGUGAGGCUGCCUGGCCUGUAGUUCUGGAAAAGGAAAGUCAAACAAAGGAAUUCAGAUCUCGUUAUGCACUGAUUUACUGAAAGAUCAGGAGUGCUUAUAAGCCGGCAUACUGUUUCACAACUUCAAUGCACUCUGGCAAACAGAAAGACACAACACAAGCAGCUACUGAUCAACAACCUUACAACGUUAACUGAUAAGAGCAAUGGCCAGAACAUGGAACUAUUCCUGUGAGUCAAGACUUCAGCAAUACCUUGAUAUUUGUGAAUUAUGCAGAAUUUGCUUAUAAUACACAGACUUAUCCAGCUCUAUUGCCUAGAGAAAAACACAUUUUAUCAUCACUAUUCAUGCCUUCCAUUCUUGACACCUCUUUGAAAGUACAAGAAGUGCUGCCUUGUGUAACAUUGUGGUCAUCCGCUCUAGGGAGAGAUUCCUGCUACAUUAUGAGUUGGUGGUAAGCCUUACUUUCUGGCAUAAUAAAAAUAGAUGGUCUGUCAAAAGAUGAUGUUCUCAAUGCUUUGUUUUGUAGUUCUAUCCUGCCAUCUUCUCUGAAUUAGCAAAUGUGAAAUGCAGCAUAUGGAUUUAUGAAAAGAAAAGUGCAAGAUGUGAAAUAUCCUGAGUAUCUGGAUCUUCGAACAUACGCAUCUCAAUCCGUUGGAGAACCACUCCUCUAUGCCUUAUAUGCAGUCCUGGUAUAUAGAGGUGUCAGUAGUCAUGCAGGACGUUAUUUCUGCUACACAAAGGUAAAUAACAAUUUCAUUUCUAACAGGGUGAGCUCUGUGCUGGUGAGGAGGUACUUGCAUGAAAACUUUACUGGUAACCACUGCUUUUAGGGAAAAAGGUUUUAUUUCAUGUUUAAUUUGAUCUUUUUUGGUGUAUUCUCUGUUCUGAAGAGUUCUCUUUGUGUUUUCAUUUAGAAAGUGUGCAGUUCCUCUGAAGACAUGGCUGCUUUUAUUUGCAGGCUGCUGGUAGACUUUGAUAUGAGAUGAAUGAUGCCUCUGUAGUCUUUUGUGAAAUCAAAAUGGUUCUCAGUCAGCAAGCUUAUUUACUUUUUAA
Molecule: long non-coding RNA, 1595 nt
Organism: Dromaius novaehollandiae (emu)
Lineage: Eukaryota; Metazoa; Chordata; Aves; Casuariiformes; Dromaiidae
Exons: 3
Source: RefSeq, a predicted model, not a curated record